GGGGAUGCUGUGGGUUCGACAGGGAACCGGUGGUCCUGGAUGGCAAGCCGAGGCGCCCCAACCUCGUAAAAAGGGGGUUCUUUAAAAAAAGUGCCAACUACGCUACCAUUCCCAUGGCCGCUUAAUUGAGCGGCCACGUCCUCCCUGGCCUCCCCCCGAAGGGCCAGGGAAGGGCGUGAGAGAUUUCGGGGUGCGAUGGCCUGAUGCCGAAUAGGGCCAUCUAAGACAGCAUUCGGCUGGCCCGAAACACCCUGGUCGGCUCGGGAGGUUUCGGGCGAGAUUAAAGAGCCGACUAAGCUUGUAAACCAUCCAGGGCUAAGUUCUCUGGACGCGGGUUCAACUCCCGCCAUCUCCACCU
This 358-nucleotide transfer-messenger RNA is filed under the name Anaerolineae. Its description in RNAcentral is "SpSt-600 sp025062375 X1 Standard tmRNA". It matches the Rfam family "transfer-messenger RNA". Rfam says of the family: Bacterial tmRNA, also known as 10Sa RNA or SsrA, is named for its dual tRNA and mRNA-like properties. The record is from RNAcentral. RNAcentral also lists the same sequence under 1 other name. Lineage: Bacteria; Bacillati; Chloroflexota.